UUCUGUGGUUAUUUGGUUCCUUCUCUGGGGAUUGUUUUUGCUGUUUUUCCGCCUCUUUUGUCCCCAGUUCUGUUCCAGGCUGUUGGGAGUCUGGUUGGGGCCUGGUGAAGCAGAGCCCAGGCCAGCCCUGCAGGGGAACCUGCAGGACUGUCAGGGCCUGGCCUCGAUGGAAUCGCUCCAUGCCGCCUGUCCUUCUCUUCCGACCCGUCCCAGCCCCUGGCAGCACCAAGCAAGGCUUUUCCCCAGGGCCUGCAAGUCGGCCAGGAAAGGGAAGGUGGUGCCCACAUGGCGUCAGGGCCCCUGCUGGCCUCUGCAGCCCCUGGUCUUUCCAUUCGUUGUUAGGCAUGCUGGGCUUUGAGCCAGGUGUCCAGUAUCUCUGAUCUCAAACCUUACACCUACCCUGCAAGGUUAAUUACCAUCUGUGUUUGACAGUCGAGGAAGCCGAUGCUCUGAGAGGGUAAGAAUCUUGCCACGGAGCACACAGCUUAUUCCUUUCCAUUCUGAGAAGCCAAGGUAUUUUCGCCCGGUGGAGGAAUGACGUAGUUCCAUCCUAAUCUUGUCUUAUACUUGCAGACUAGCCCUGAGCUAACAUCUGCCGCCAAUCCUCCUUUUUUUGCUGAGGAAGACUGGCUGUGAGCUAACAUCCAUGCCCAUCUUCCUCUACUUUAUAUGCGGGACGCCUACCACAGCAUGGCUUGCCAAGCGGUGCCAUGUCCGCACGCAGGAUCGGAACCAGCGAAUCCCCGGGCCGCAGAAGUGGAAUGUGCGCACUUAACCGCUGCGUCACCAGGCCGGCCCCUGACUUACUUUAAAUGUCUGCACCUGGUUCAAUUGUAGUUUCCAUCUAGAAACAUCAUCGUGUUUUACUUUAAUCUCUGCAUUGACCUGAAAACUGCUAAAUCUUUUUGAGGUUAGAAUUGCUUCAAGAUAAAUGGUGCAUUAAUAUGACUAUUGUUGCUCUGAAUAUUGGCCCUAAAGAAAUUACCCAGGAAAAAAAAGAGCAUCUGUUAGCGUGUGCCUGCUCGUGGCAGAGAGGAGCCUGCAUGCAGAGCAGUCCUAAGAAUGCAGCGUCCUAGUAUGCCAGCUCGUUCCAUGGACUGGAGAGCAGCUCCUCUGCUGUGCUGCAGUGGCGCUGAGCCCUGCCUCUGAAUGGAUGUCGUGAACACUGACUGUCAUCGGCCUGUUUUCCCUUUCUAAAAGAAACGGAACACAUGUUACAUCAGGAUUUCAUUUACUAAUAAAAUGUUCCUUUUCA
Molecule: long non-coding RNA, 1255 nt
Filed under: Equus asinus (donkey)
Lineage: Eukaryota; Metazoa; Chordata; Mammalia; Perissodactyla; Equidae
Description: lncRNA (ENSEASG00005023638.1)
Source: RNAcentral